GAGGAGGUGCAGCAUGAGGUAAUACAGUAGGGGGAGUGCUGCUCAGUGUGAGGUAAUACAGUAGGGGGAGUGCUGCUCAGCGUGAGGUAAUACAGUAGGGGGAGUGCUGCUCAGCGUGAGGUAAUACAGUAGGGGGAGUGCUGCUCAGCGUGAGGUAAUACAGUAGGGGGAGUGCUGCUCAGCGUGAGGUAAUACAGUAGGGGAGUGCUGCUCAGUGUGAGGUAAUACAGUAGGGGGAGUGCUGCUCAGUGUGAGGUAAUACAGUAGGGGGGAGGGCUUCUCAAAUGGAAUGUUUUAUGCGUACUCAAGAGAAUGUCCUCGGGAAAAUGCACUAGAAGCAUGAGAGUGUGGAACACGGUAAUAUGCAUAUUGAGAAACACCCAGUGACUCAGGGGAGCACGGUAAUAUGCAUAUUGAGAAACACCCAGUGACUCAGGGGAGCACGGUAAUAUGCAUAUUGAGAAACACCCAGUGACUCAGGGGAGCACGGUA
Molecule: long non-coding RNA, 492 nt
Organism: Oncorhynchus tshawytscha (Chinook salmon)
Lineage: Eukaryota; Metazoa; Chordata; Actinopteri; Salmoniformes; Salmonidae
Source: Ensembl